UCUCCCGUGACCCGAUGACCUCUCCCCGGGUGCUCCGCUUGGUAGAUUGUAACGGACCACGACGAGAUCCGCCGGGGAGGAGCACCACGACGGGACGAGCUGGGUCGCCACCAGGCAGGCAACGAGAAGCCGGAACAUUGCGAUAUCCGCACCCGAUACCGAACAACAGAGCAGGACCUGGAGUCGGGGUCCAAGUGGGAAGGGAUAGAAGAGGUUGGCACCACAUUGUGGGCCGAAGAGCCAGUCCUGCGCUGUGAUGCUCUAUGGCGUCUCCCCUCAGCUUCCGCAGCUCCAGAGAAGACCACCCAAGCUCGUCCAGCCUCUCGCGACAGCACGCCCUCUAAUCCAGGCAGCAUCUGGGUGGAACUCCUCUGCAGCCCUCCAAAGCCUCCUCACCCUUCCUGUGGAGGGGAGGCCAGAACUGAGGGAAAUUUCUCCAGAAGUGGCUCAACUACAGUUGCAGAAAGCUGCAA
This is a long non-coding RNA of Mobula hypostoma (lesser devil ray), 473 nucleotides long. RefSeq lists it as uncharacterized. The record is from RefSeq and is a predicted model, not a curated record. Lineage: Eukaryota; Metazoa; Chordata; Chondrichthyes; Myliobatiformes; Myliobatidae. The transcript has 3 exons.